Molecule: ribosomal RNA, 273 nt
Filed under: Escherichia coli
Lineage: Bacteria; Pseudomonadati; Pseudomonadota; Gammaproteobacteria; Enterobacterales; Enterobacteriaceae
Description: partial 23S ribosomal RNA
Rfam family: Bacterial large subunit ribosomal RNA
Source: RNAcentral
GAAGGUGUGCUGUGAGGCAUGCUGGAGGUAUCAGAAGUGCGAAUGCUGACAUAAGUAACGAUAAAGCGGGUGAAAAGCCCGCUCGCCGGAAGACCAAGGGUUCCUGUCCAACGUUAAUCGGGGCAGGGUGAGUCGACCCCUAAGGCGAGGCCGAAAGGCGUAGUCGAUGGGAAACAGGUUAAUAUUCCUGUACUUGGUGUUACUGCGAAGGGGGGACGGAGAAGGCUAUGUUGGCCGGGCGACGGUUGUCCCGGUUUAAGCGUGUAGGCUGGU